Molecule: long non-coding RNA, 836 nt
Organism: Labrus bergylta (ballan wrasse)
Lineage: Eukaryota; Metazoa; Chordata; Actinopteri; Labriformes; Labridae
Source: RefSeq, a predicted model, not a curated record
CCACAGAUCAGAUUAUCUUCCAUCACAGACGCUGCCUGACCCUACACAGACUCGAAAUAACCCCCACCCAACAGUGGCAUCAACCAACAGUGGCAUCAACCAACAGAUUAUCUUCCCUCACAGAGGCUGCCUGACCCUACACAGUUUCAGAAGCAGCUGCAAGAACCACAGUAUCCACCACCAAGCAGAAUAACCAAGAGCAUCAAAAAAGAAGAAAAGUACGAGAUGGCUCUUCCUUUUGAAUACCCUGCAGAGUUAAAGACCAAAAAAAAAAGAAAAGUGUUCAAGGAGAAGGUACUGGAAGCUCAUCCAGAGAGGCUCUACUAUGAUGCAACGCGUCAGGAUAUAAGAACAAACCUGAUCUUUAACAAUUCAAAUAAAAAUGCAUGGCUGAAUACAAUCACGGAAGAAUACACUGAUCUAGAGGUAACUGAACAUAAAUGGAUCAAACUCAAGUCAAGAAAGGGCACCAUAUGUGUGUAUGACACUGGACGUGUUGUCGUGUACGGCAAAAAACUAAUGAGAGACUUUGUGGAAAGAUUUGAAGUCAUGAGAGUGAAUUUAAAUGAUGGUGGAGGUGCUGAUGGGACUGAGGGCGAUGUGACCACCACAGGUGCUGAUGAGACUGAGGGCGAGGACAAAACAACCCAAGACCAGCCCAGCCCAACUGAGGUUGAGGAAUAAAGAGCUAGUAACAAUUUGAGGGAGAAAAAUGAACAAAAUUGUGUCUAGAUACCGGACUAUUAUAGAAUAUUUGCUCUUUUUUUAGCAGGGUUAACUGGGUUUGUUUUCUGAUUUGAAUUUUUUUUCACAUCUGAUAGAUCGUUUUUUUUAAA